Molecule: RNase P RNA, 445 nt
Filed under: Deltaproteobacteria bacterium
Lineage: Bacteria; Pseudomonadati; Myxococcota; Myxococcia
Description: RNase P RNA component class A
Rfam family: Bacterial RNase P class A
About the family: Ribonuclease P (RNase P) is a ubiquitous endoribonuclease, found in archaea, bacteria and eukarya as well as chloroplasts and mitochondria. Its best characterised activity is the generation of mature 5'-ends of tRNAs by cleaving the 5'-leader elements of precursor-tRNAs. Cellular RNase Ps are ribonucleoproteins.
Source: RNAcentral
GCAGCCGCUCAGACGAUCGCCGGCCGAGCCCGCCUCAUCACUCGAGGCGGGCAGAGCGGGAGGAACGUCCGAGCUCCACAGGGCGAGAUGCCGGGUAACGCCCGGUGCGGGUGACCGCGAGGAAAGUGCCACAGAGAAGAGACCGCCGCGCCAUCGCCUCGAGAGGGGCGAUCGCACGGUAAGGGUGAAACGGCGGGGUAAGAGCCCACCGCGUCGGCGGUGACGUCGACGGCACGGCAAACCCCAUCUGGAGCAAGGCCACGUAGGGGGGCGACGAUCGAUCCGGCGCCGCGAGGCGUCGGGUCGAGAGGAAGGACGGCCCGUCCGGUGCCCCCGGGUAGGCUGCUGGAGGCGCGCGGUAACGCGCGUCCUAGAGGAAUGAUCGUCACCGCGAGAGGGGCGACCCGAUCGCGGAACAAAACUCGGCGUACGAGCGACUGCGGCC